UUAGUAGGAGUCGACUCCAUUUCGCUUCCCAUUCCAUUCGCCUUCCCCCAUCCGUCCCCUCCCCCACCCCUUCGAAGCGGCGGUUCCUGCUCCCGAUCCAGCCAGCGGCGACCCGGGAUGGCGGCGGCGCCGCCGGACGGGCAGGAGAAGGUGAUCGCGGCGGCGCAGCACAUCGUCAAGUCGCUCGCCAGCUCCAAGAACGCCGCCGACGACAUGAUCCGCAUCCUCUCCGGCUUCGACAACCGCCUCUCCCUCAUGUCCGACCUCUUCCCCCCGCCCCCUGGCGCCGCCGCCGCGGCCGGCGGUCCCAUCCUCGAGGCGGACGAGGGGACCUCCCAGGGGGACGGGGAGGACGAGCCCGACCCCGACGACGACGCCGCGGCGCGGGCCGAGGAGGAGUGGGACGCCGCGGCGGAGGUGAUCGAGCGCUGGGAGUCCCCCUCCGCCGGGGACAGGACGGUGUUCGGCUCGCGGGAGGACGCCGAGGAGUACCUCGCCGCGGCCGCCUGCCUCGCGGGCGCGCCGGGCCCGCGCGCCGAGGCCGCGCUGCAGGCCGCGAUGGCGCGGCUCGAGGACGAGUUCCGCCACAUGCUCAUCCGCGGGGCCUCGCCGCUCGCCGCGGAGGACCUGCAGGCGUCGCUCCUCCGCCGGCUCUCGCUCACGGUACCCUCCUUCAACUCCUCCGCCGUAGACCUAGAUUGCCCCUCCUUCGCCAACCACGCCGGCGAGGGCGGGGACGAACCGGGCGGCAGGAACUCGGUCUCCGACGACGAGAUCUCGCCCUACCUCAUCGCUCCGGACACCGUCGGCGCCCUCAGGGACAUCGCGGACGUCAUGCUGCGCGCGGGCUACGCGCCCGAGCUGUGCCAGGUCUACGGGGAGGUGCGCCGGGACACGCUCAUGGAGUGCCUCGCCGUGCUUGGGGUCGAUAAGAUGAGCCUGGAGGAGGUACAGCGGGUGGAGUGGGGCGUGCUUGACGGCAAGAUGAAGAAAUGGAUCCAGGCGCUCAAGGUUGUCGUCCGGGGCCUUCUCGCCGAGGAGCGCCGCAUCUGCUGCCAGAUCCUUGCGUCUGACCCAAGCGCCGAGGAGGAGUGCUUCACUGAGGCGGCCAAGGGGUGCGUCCUGCAGCUGCUCAACUUUGGUGAUGCCAUUGCAAUUGGGAAGAGAUCGUCUGAGAAGCUGUUCCGCAUCCUUGGUAUGUAUGAAGCUUUAGCUGAGGUGCUGCCUGAGCUCGAGGGUUUGUUCUCGGGUGAAGCCAAGGAUUUCAUCAAGGAAGAGGCUGAGGGGAUACUCGUGCGGCUUGGGGAUGCAGUGCGUGGCACGAUUGCUGAGUUUGCCAGUGCCAUCCAGGGAGAGACUUCUCGGAGGCCGCUGCCCGGUGGGGAGAUCCACCCCCUCACACGUUAUGUUAUGAACUAUGUACGGCUGCUUGCAGAUUACAAUGCCUCGCUGAAUCAACUUCUUGAAUAUUGGGACGCUGACCUGAAUAUGGGUGAUAAUCCAAACAUGACUCCAUUGGGGCAUUGCGUGCUCAUGCUGAUCACACACCUACAGAGCAAAAUUGAUGAGAAAUCGAGGCUGUAUGAGGAUGAGGCGCUGCAGAAUAUAUUUUUGAUGAACAAUCUGCUGUAUAUUGUGCAGAAGGUGAAGGAUUCAGAGCUGAAGACAUUGCUUGGUGAUAACUGGAUUCGCAAGCGCCGUGGUCAGAUAAGGCAGUACUCUACAGGGUAUCUCCGGUCGUCAUGGACUAGGGUGUUAGCUUGCCUGAGAGAUGAUGGGUUGCCACAGACAAUGGGUUCGUCAAGUGCACUCAAGAACGCACUGAAGGAUAGAUUCAAGAACUUCAACUUGGCCUUUGAGGAGUUGUACAGGACACAGACAUCAUGGAGGGUUGUGGAUCCUCAGUUAAGGGAAGAGCUGAAGAUUUCCAUCUCGGAGAAGGUUCUUCCUGCAUACCGUUCAUUUGUUGGGAGAUUUCGGGGCCAGUUGGAAGGAGGGAGGGGGUCUGCAAGGUACAUAAAGUACAACCCUGAGGAUUUAGAGAACCAGGUUUCAGAUUUCUUUGAAGGGAAAAGGCCAAAUGCUUGAUGGUCAAGAGAUGUUCAUAUCAAUGAUGCCUCCAAGUCCUAUGCAAAUUUUGAUGAUGCUAGUUCCAAGUCCCGUCCAAAUUUUAUUGGCACUACUGUACAGGGAACUUGACCUUCCAUACGUCCUUUGAAGGUCUGAAGAUGGAAAUUUAAACUCUUCCUGAACUGACCGAAAUGAAGCAACCUAAAUUGAAUGAUUUAGCUUCUCAUCCUUGAUCCUCUCAAGAGGGAUAACACCAUUGAAGAAGUCUCCAAAAUAGCCAGGUGGCUCAUACACCAACUUGGCGAUGAUAUCUCUGAGGGUGAUCAAGCCGUCCAGGUUCCCUUCCUCGUUGAUCACAUAGAUCCUCUGCCUCUUUUCUGCAUCCAGCUUCAAUAUUAUGUCCUUGACACUGUCCCCUCUACUGCACGUUAUGAUGCUCAUUUGCCUUUCGCCGGAGCUCUGUCGUGCAUUCGCAAUGAAUUCUUUCGCUUUGAGUGUCCUGCAAGUGGUAAAUUGUUUAGUAUACUUGGCUUCUGUAGUUCUGUGUUGUAUCUUAUGGUUGUUUUGAACCUAGUCUCUUGUUCCAUAUACAUCUUUCAUGUACGUGCACUUUUAGUUCCGGUU
RNA transcript from Panicum hallii, 2694 nucleotides. It is a transcript of the gene named exocyst complex component EXO70B1-like, with no coding region annotated. Lineage: Eukaryota; Viridiplantae; Streptophyta; Magnoliopsida; Poales; Poaceae. The transcript is spliced from 3 exons. The record is from RefSeq and is a predicted model, not a curated record.